Molecule: ribosomal RNA, 406 nt
Filed under: uncultured bacterium
Lineage: Bacteria
Description: partial 16S ribosomal RNA
Rfam family: Bacterial small subunit ribosomal RNA
Source: RNAcentral
GACGACCGCUGGCGGCAGGCCUAACACAUGCAAGUCAGGCGAGCGGCGGACGGGUGAGGAAUGUAUGGGGAUCUGACUGAUGGAGGGGGAAAACUACUGGAAACGGUAGCUAAUACCGCAUAACAUCACAUGAAACCAUAUGGGAUUAGAUUGUAGGUAAGGUAACGGCUUACCUAGGCGACGAUCCAUAGCUGGUCUGAGAGGAUGAUCAUCCACACUGGGACUGAGACACGGCCCAGACUCCUACGGGAGGCAGCAGUGGGGAAUAUUGCACAAUGGGCGCAAGCCUGAUGCAGCCAUGCCGCGUGUAGGAAGAAGGCCUUCGGGUUGUAAAGUACUUUCAGUCGGGAGGCGUUACCGACAGAAGAAGCACCGGCUAACUCCGUGCCAGCAGCCGCGGUAAUUC